CACAUGCCAGCCCCCAGCCAGCUGGCACAGAGUCAAAGGUGCCGGCUGGUGGGCGCACGGGGGGGAGCGGCUGGCACACAGCCCCCAAGACAGACACGCAGAGCGACUGGCACGGAGCACUGGCAUUGUCAGAGCGAUGGAGACUGGCUGUUGAAGAGGAGGAGAUGUCACCGAGGUAGAUCUCAACCCCCCAUUGGUCCUGCCACCUGGACAUGACGAGUGUGUUCAUCUCGCAGGUCAGACUCCAUCCGUCACUUCCCGUCCCUGUCCAGGGCCAAAGGAAAUUGGGAAAAGCCAGGAUUCGUCUCGGAAGGGAAAAUUGAGAUUCCAACAGCUCCUUUCGGGGUGUCAGAUUUCGGAGACCUUCGGGGGCAUGUAAAUGAUUUAUAAAUGCAAUGGGAUUAAGGCAAGUGACUUUGCAGUCGAAUCUUCUGCAGGCUGAGGACAGUGCAAGGAUCCAAAGAGCAAAAACAUCCCAGC
Long non-coding RNA from Gopherus flavomarginatus (Mexican gopher tortoise), 480 nucleotides. RefSeq lists it as uncharacterized. The record is from RefSeq and is a predicted model, not a curated record. Lineage: Eukaryota; Metazoa; Chordata; Testudines; Testudinidae. The transcript is spliced from 3 exons.